UUCCAGCUUAAAUUUGUGAUUUGUGAAGCUAUAAACGAACUACUGUUGACUUUGUGCUUGACUGCACAACAUGGGGAGUAAAGAUGCACGGACAGUAUUAAAAUACCUGUUAGGAUUCCAAAUAAGCUAUCCUGCUAACUCAGUUAAACUAAAAAGACUGGACACUGAAUCAUAUAAGAGAAAGAAGCACAGGUGUUCAGGAAUGUUUUGUGUUCAUGAAUGGACCAAGGGAUCAUUAUUGUUACAAAGGUGAGUGUUUCUGCAAUUUCUCAAAUUGUCCCUCUCCUCAUUCUUUAUGUGAUAUAGCAGCUAUAGUAAAUAUAUCAUCCAGGAAGAUGAUAAGAGAUCCCUCAACCCACUAAUAGUCUGUUAAUUUUUUUUAUUUAAAUGCUGAAAAAAUUGCAUGUAUUUGAAAUUUUAAAAAAAAACAAGAAAUUAAAGAAUUUUAUUACAAAUGUUACCAUCUUAUAAAGCUAUUGUAGGUUUAUUCAGUGCAAAGACACCAAUCUUUCAACGUUUAUUGAAAAUAAUUCAUGACCUAAAAAUUUUUUAUAAGGGUUUAGGGUGACAUGAAGGAUACAUUACUUUCAAUUUUAAUUUUGGGGCUGACAAACACUUUAAGAAAAAAGUGUUAAGUCUUAGUGU
Danio rerio (zebrafish) is the source of this 645-nucleotide non-coding RNA. NCBI's taxonomy places the organism in Eukaryota, Metazoa, Chordata, Actinopteri, Cypriniformes, Danionidae. The record is from Ensembl.